CUACUGUUCUGGCACCUUGUCCACUGCAACCCCGAGUUUCCAAAUUUUAUACCAAAGUGCUGUUUAGGGGCAGCAAACCGAGUAAGGAAUGUGUCAGGGAUUUAGAGAACGUUGCCCAUUGCUUGUGUUCCUUCGUGAAAAGCAUUUCUAGCCACACCCAUAAAGAAGUUGUCUCUCCUGACAAUACACAGUGGGCUUUGGAAUGUGCCCUUCUAUGAUUACAAAUACUGGCUGCAUUAGACUGGGUCCCAACUGCUCAUCCAUCGAUUGGGUUAGGUAAGAGUGCCCCUGUUUAAAGCCUCAGCAACUGCUGAGAAACCAACAAAACAGAGGAACAACA
This is a long non-coding RNA of Catharus ustulatus (Swainson's thrush), 340 nucleotides long. RefSeq lists it as uncharacterized. Lineage: Eukaryota; Metazoa; Chordata; Aves; Passeriformes; Turdidae. The transcript is spliced from 3 exons. The record is from RefSeq and is a predicted model, not a curated record.